Molecule: ribosomal RNA, 511 nt
Filed under: uncultured Glomus
Lineage: Eukaryota; Fungi; Glomeromycota; Glomeromycetes; Glomerales; Glomeraceae
Description: SSU rRNA
Rfam family: Eukaryotic small subunit ribosomal RNA
Source: RNAcentral
AGCAGCCGCGGUAAUUCCAGCUCCAAUAGCGUAUAUUAAAGUUGUUGCAGUUAAAAAGCUCGUAGUUGAAUUUCGGGGUUAGUAGGUUGGUCAUGCCUCUGGUAUGUACUGGUCUCACUGAUUCCUCCUUCCUGAUGAAUCUUAAUGCCAUUAAUUUGGUGUUUUGGGGAAUUUGGACUGUUACUUUGAAAAAUUAGAGUGUUUAAAGCAAGCUAACGCUUGAAUACAUUAGCAUGGAAUAAUGAAAUAGGACGUUCGAUCCUAUUUUGUUGGUUUCUAGGAUUGACGUAAUGAUUAAUAGGGAUAGUUGGGGGCAUUAGUAUUCAAUUGUCAGAGGUGAAAUUCUUGGAUUUAUUGAAGACUAACUACUGCGAAAGCAUUUGCCAAGGAUGUUUUCAUUAAUCAAGAACGAAAGUUAGGGGAUCGAAGACGAUCAGAUACCGUCGUAGUCUUAACCAUAAACUAAUGCCGACUAGGGAUCGGAUGAUGUUAAUUUUUAAUGUACUCAUUC